RNAcentral lists this ribosomal RNA (497 nucleotides) under uncultured bacterium. RNAcentral's name for it is "partial 16S ribosomal RNA". It matches the Rfam family "Bacterial small subunit ribosomal RNA", at positions 28 to 507 of the family's 1533-position model. The record is from RNAcentral.
GAUGAACGCUGGCGGCGUGCCUAAUACAUGCAAGUCGAGCGAACGGACGAGAAGCUUGCUUCUCUGAUGUUAGCGGCGGACGGGUGAGUAACACGUGGAUAACCUACCUAUAAGACUGGGAUAACUUCGGGAAACCGGAGCUAAUACCGGAUGAUAUUUUGAACCGCAUGGUUCAAAAGUGAAAGACGGUCUUGCUGUCACUUAUAGAUGGAUCCGCGCUGCAUUAGCUAGUUGGUAAGGUAACGGCUUACCAAGGCAACGAUGCAUAGCCGACCUGAGAGGGUGAUCGGCCACACUGGAACGGAGACACGGUCCAGACUCCUACGGGAGGCAGCAGUAGGGAAUCUUCCGCAAAGGGCGAAAGCCUGACGGAGCAACGCCGCGUGAGUGAUGAAGGUCUUCGGAGCGUAAAACUCUGUUAUUAGUGAAGAACAUAUGUGUAAGUAACUGUGCACAUCUUGACGGUACCUAAUCAGAAAGCCACGGCUAACUACGUG